This 253-nucleotide ribosomal RNA is filed under the name uncultured bacterium. RNAcentral's name for it is "partial 16S ribosomal RNA". It matches the Rfam family "Bacterial small subunit ribosomal RNA", at positions 524 to 776 of the family's 1533-position model. The record is from RNAcentral.
UACGUAGGGUGCAAGCGUUGCUCGGAAUCAUUGGGCGUAAAGAGCUCGUAGGCGGUCUGUCGCGUCGGCUGUGAAAACCCGGAGCUCAACUCCGGGCCUGCAGUCGAUACGGGCAGACUGGAGUUCGGCAGGGGAGACUGUAAUUCCUGGUGUAGCGGUGAAAUGCGCAGAUAUCAGGAGGAACACCGGUGGCGAAGGCGGGUCUCUGGGCCGUUACUGACGCUGAGGAGCGAAAGCGUGGGGAGCGAACAGG